UGGGGAGUCGUCUAACGGCAGGACAGCGGACUCUGGAUCCGUAUGUGGAGGUUCGAAUCCUCCCUCCCCAGCCA
RNAcentral lists this transfer RNA (74 nucleotides) under bacterium. Its description in RNAcentral is "tRNA-Gln". It matches the Rfam family "tRNA". From Rfam's summary of the family: Transfer RNA (tRNA) molecules are approximately 80 nucleotides in length. Their secondary structure includes four short double-helical elements and three loops (D, anti-codon, and T loops). The record is from RNAcentral.